This 1095-nucleotide ribosomal RNA is filed under the name Triticum aestivum (bread wheat). RNAcentral's name for it is "partial small subunit ribosomal RNA". The record is from RNAcentral. Lineage: Eukaryota; Viridiplantae; Streptophyta; Magnoliopsida; Poales; Poaceae.
AUGGCUAGCUUAGCUAACUUAUCCCCGGGCGGAUUAGAGAGGUGUCCGUCCGUCCACCGAGAAAUGGACGACGGACGGACGGACUGUAUAUCUAGUAUCUCGGCAGGGACAAACUCUCAAUGCUGCUGCUGCUGCUGCUGCUGGUCGGCGUCUGAGAGCAUCAUCAUCCUGACGAACUCGUCGAAGUUGACGAGGCCGUCGCCGUCGAGGUCGGCCUCCUGGAUCAUCCCGUCCACCUCGUCGUCGGUGAGCUUCUCGCCGAGGCUGAUCAUGACGUGGCGCAGCUCGGCCUUGGAGAUGUGGCCGUCGUGGUCCUUGUCGAACACCCUGAAGGCCUCCCGGAGCUCCUCCUCUGGGUCGGCGGCGUCGGCGUCGGCGUCGGCCUUGCGGGACAUGAGCGCCAGGAACUCGGCGAACUCGAUGGUGCCGUUGCCGUCGGCGUCCACGUCGCGCACCAUGUCGCGCAGCUCCUCGGGCGUCGGGGACUGGCCCAGGGAGCGGAUGACCGUGGACAGCUCCUCCGCCGUGAUGCAGCCGUCGCCGUCCUUGUCGAAGAAGGCGAAGGCCUCCCGGAACUCGCUCAUCUGCUCCGAACUGAUCGCUGCUGCACCGGCGCCGGCCAUCCUGCUACCUCUUCUUCGAUGCUUGCACGGAGAUGGUCGAUGUGGGUGGGUGGGUUGGAGAAGGAAUGAAGCUGAAGGUGCGAUUAACUUGGAUGGGUUCAAGGAUUGUGAGGCGGGGGAUUUAUAUAGGAGGCGGAUGGGAAGCAGAGGCACGAACGGUCAUGUCGGAGAUCUGAACGCGGGAGCGAGAAGCUGUGUGGCUGCCGUUGACUUGUCUGUCCCACACGCGCACGCAUUAAUUCCAGUCCCGCCUUCAAUCCUCCUAGGCUGGCCAAGGCAAAGCCAAGUCAAAGGAGAUCGGUCGAUGCAGAUCAGCGCCCCACCGCACGCACGCACGCGUUCCCAAAUGCAAAAUCUAAACAGUUUUAAAGAGGAGGAAGAUGGAUUCUUCCUUCUUCUAAAAGUGCAAAAUCGAUCUGCACGUACGGGAAACGGAACAAAGCGCAAAGGCAAAAAAAUGCUUGCAAUUUGA